CUAUAAUUUCAUAUUACUCCACUUUUGGUCCCUCAUUUUAUGUGUCAUGUAUGCAGAUUCUGCUGACGUGGUGAAAUGAGGGACCAAAAGUGAAAGAAUCUUAAAUUACAG
Molecule: microRNA precursor, 111 nt
Filed under: Medicago truncatula (barrel medic)
Lineage: Eukaryota; Viridiplantae; Streptophyta; Magnoliopsida; Fabales; Fabaceae
Description: MIR5284 microRNA precursor family
Rfam family: MIR5284 microRNA precursor family
Source: Rfam by way of RNAcentral